AUGGAACAUUUCUUUAAAAAGAUAAAGGUCUGUCAUAUCUGUUUCUUUUUUUUAGAAGAAAUGCUGCAUCAACAAUCUUCAAAAAAUAGGAAGAGGUGUGCAGCCAAUAAAAAGAUGGAGAUAUCCUGGAUACUUAGCUCAGCGGGAUGUUUGAGAAUGAAUGUGAAUUCUUCCACAAGGAUGAGAGCAAACAGAUAACUUUAUUUUCAUGCACAACUGUGAUUAAAAUGUAUAUAUAAAUAUGAACCCAGAAAAGAAUAAUGAAAUUGAUAUCCCCCCCACCCCUCCCUCUGAAAUUAAGUGGACUCAUCAAUAGAAAAGGUAU
Molecule: long non-coding RNA, 325 nt
Filed under: Anser brachyrhynchus (Pink-footed goose)
Lineage: Eukaryota; Metazoa; Chordata; Aves; Anseriformes; Anatidae
Description: lncRNA (ENSABRG00000020259.1)
Source: RNAcentral